GAUGAACGCUGGCGGCGUGCCUAAUAAAUGCAAGUCGAGCGAACGGACGAGAAGCUUGCUUUUCUGAUGUUAGCGGCGGACGGGUGAGUAACACGUGGAUAACCUACCUAUAAGACUGGGAUAACUUCGGGAAACCGGAGCUAAUACCGGAUAAUAUUUUGAACCGCAUGGUUCAAAAGUGAAAGACGGUCUUGCUGUCACUUAUAGAUGGAUCCGCGCUGCAUUAGCUAGUUGGUAAGGUAACGGCUUACCAAGGCAACGAUGCAUAGCCGACCUGAGAGGGUGAUCGGCCACACUGGAACUGAGACACGGUCCAGACUCCUACGGGAGGCAGCAGUAGGGAAUCUUCCGCAAUGGGCGAAAGCCUGACGGAGCAACGCCGCGUGAGUGAUGAAGGUCUUCGGAUCGUAAAACUCUGUUAUUAGGGAAGAACAUAUGUGUAAGUAACUGUGCACAUCUUGACGGUACCUAAUCAGAAAGCCACGGCUAACUACGUG
Molecule: ribosomal RNA, 497 nt
Filed under: uncultured bacterium
Lineage: Bacteria
Description: partial 16S ribosomal RNA
Rfam family: Bacterial small subunit ribosomal RNA
Source: RNAcentral